GUUUAGUUUUUUUUUAAUCCCACUUCUCCCCCAUCUUCCUCCUUUCUUCUCCAUCUCCUCUUUCCCCCAUCUUCCUCUUUUCCUCUCCAUCUGCUUCAUUUUCUUCCAUCUUCCUCUUUUCAUCUCCAUCCUUUUCCUCUCCAUCUCCCUUCUUUCAGCACCACCUCCCCCUUUCCACUCUAUUUGCCCACACUGCAUUUUCCCCUUUUUCCCCCAAACCCAGAGCACCUGGGCUCUGCUAGUCUCCUCCCAUCCCAGGUGUGUCCACUUUGCCCUGCUUGCCCACUCCCCUUUAUAAUUGGCCUCAGGAAAGGCAGAAGCCCUAAGCUUGCCCAACUGGGCAGAGGGAUCCUUCUCCUGGCAUCACCGACAGUUUUUGUUCUGUGAAGCUGGAAACUGGAGAGGAUUUGCCUUCUGUGUGAAGGACAGGGAUGCUCCCUGUAAGUCUCUGCACGUGAGUCUGCUCAGAAAUCUCCGUGGUGCUGCUAUGCCUUGAUCCCCCACCACGACCAAUGGAUCCUGGCUCUUUUUUUAUGGAGACUCCCCACCGAGGUAGACGCUAGUUAAAAGGUUACUACCCAGCUGUGAAAUAUGUAGACAGGGUAACAGCUCAGUGCUAGAGUGACCUCAUAUCUCAUAUUUAUUGACUAAAUGUGGCUUGAACUAGUCACCACCAGUAAAAUAAACCACAGCCCCAUGUACUGCAGGAAUAUUCCACGGCAGACAGACUCCUGGUUCCUUCUCCCACUCUUUUCUUUCACUUGAAAUAUGGAUUUUGUUUUUAGAAAAAGGCAAAGUAA
This is a long non-coding RNA of Pogoniulus pusillus (Red-fronted tinkerbird), 800 nucleotides long. RefSeq lists it as uncharacterized. The record is from RefSeq and is a predicted model, not a curated record. The transcript is spliced from 3 exons. NCBI's taxonomy places the organism in Eukaryota, Metazoa, Chordata, Aves, Piciformes, Lybiidae.